UCGAGCGGUAGAGAGAAGCUUGCUUCUCUUGAGAGCGGCGGACGGGUGAGUAAUGCCUAGGAAUCUGCCUGGUAGUGGGGGAUAACGUUCGGAAACGGACGCUAAUACCGCAUACGUCCUACGGGAGAAAGCAGGGGACCUUCGGGCCUUGCGCUAUCAGAUGAGCCUAGGUCGGAUUAGCUAGUUGGUGGGGUAAUGGCUCACCAAGGCGACGAUCCGUAACUGGUCUGAGAGGAUGAUCAGUCACACUGGAACUGAGACACGGUCCAGACUCCUACGGGAGGCAGCAGUGGGGAAUAUUGGACAAUGGGCGAAAGCCUGAUCCAGCCAUGCCGCGUGUGUGAAGAAGGUCUUCGGAUUGUAAAGCACUUUAAGUUGGGAGGAAGGGUUGUAGAUUUACACUCUGNCAUUUUGACGUUACCGACAGAAUAAGCACCGGCUAACUCUGUG
Molecule: ribosomal RNA, 450 nt
Filed under: uncultured bacterium
Lineage: Bacteria
Description: bacterial SSU rRNA
Rfam family: Bacterial small subunit ribosomal RNA
Source: RNAcentral